CUUCUGGGGGGCAGGAGUACGUCUUGCGGGUGGGCAUGUCGGAGAUGUGACUCUCAUAUUGCAUGGGGGUAUGCAUUUGGGUUUGCAUUUUGGCACAACUAAGGAUAAGGAUAGGGAUCCUUGAGGAGAUCUUUUUUCAGACUGGGUGAAAAUGAAAGCGCACGAUCGAUCAGCUUCUGCUCCGCAAAUCCGCUCCGGCGAUCAUGCGUGCGCCGUGGAGAGAGCCCGUCAACUGACUGCUAUGUGGUCCGCUCUAGCCACCGGGAAAUGGACUCGAGUGCCCCACAGACCCCAGAGACUUAUCUCUCGGAUGGCGGGGAGCGUUACAAAGAGCGCUAUCAUGCUUACAUGUGACUCGGUUCUUUUGGACCCUUGCUUACAGGUGAGCACUCCUUGUUGUGGCGAUAAAGAACUCCACAAUUAUGAACACCAUGAAUGAACGCACGGCUUACGAACGAUUUCUGCUCCGUAACGAUGAUGUUCACAAAUCGGUACCUUUGGUAAGCACAAUUGUCUGCCAUAAUUUUCCAUUUCAGGGUAGAUGUACGGCUAUACAGCACUUUGGAAAACUUUACGCGCGUCAUCCAGACAUUUGGGAAUUUCGUUUCGUUGAAAUGAUAACUAAAAUCCGUUCAAAGUCCGCCCAAAAUCAACAAAUAAAUACUUAUUCAUACAUCUUUAAAUCAACAUAAUAUCAUAGUUCUCUUAAAUGCUUAUAAGGAGGUUAUUAAAGCAAAUAAUUGUUCUCUUAUACAGUCUAUUAUUAUGUCUCCAUUUUUAGUAGUUUAGGCAUGAUUGUAACUUUCGCCCUAACGGGCUUUCAUAAUAUUUCGUUUAAGAGUUUAAUACCCUCAAAUCUGACAGUAUCUGAUAAAUCAUUGUUACCAAGCAAUCAAAUCAUGGCAAUAAAUUUAGACGUAUCGAGUCAUGACGGUGCUCACACAUUUGUUCAUGGAGAUAUUGUCUUGUUAAAUAAUCAUGAAGAUAGAAAUUAAAAUACUAUAAAUUAUAUUACACUAUUAAUUGAACA
This is a long non-coding RNA of Drosophila subpulchrella, 1030 nucleotides long. RefSeq lists it as uncharacterized. The record is from RefSeq and is a predicted model, not a curated record. Lineage: Eukaryota; Metazoa; Arthropoda; Insecta; Diptera; Drosophilidae. The transcript is spliced from 3 exons.